Molecule: ribosomal RNA, 497 nt
Filed under: uncultured bacterium
Lineage: Bacteria
Description: partial 16S ribosomal RNA
Rfam family: Bacterial small subunit ribosomal RNA
Source: RNAcentral
GAUGAACGCUGGCGGCGUGCCUAAUACAUGCAAGUCGAGCGAACGGACGAGAAGCUUGCUUCUCUGAUUUUAGCGGCGGACGGGUGAGUAACACGUGGAUAACAUACCUAUAAGACUGGGAUAAAUUCGGGAAACCGGAGCUAAUACCGGAUAAUAUUUUGAACCGCAUGGUUCAAAAGUGAAAGACGGUCUUGCUGUCACUUAUAGAUGGAUCCGCGCUGCAUUAGCUAGUUGGUAAGGUAACGGCUUACCAAGGCAACGAUGCAUAGCCGACCUGAGAGGGUGAUCGGCCACACUGGAACUGAGACACGGUCCAGACUCCUACGGGAGGCAGCAGUAGGGAAUCUUCCGCAAUGGGCGAAAGCCUGACGGAGCAACGCCGCGUGAGUGAUGAAGGUCUUCGGAUCGUAAAACUCUGUUAUCAGGGAAGAACAGAUGAGUAAGAAACUGUGCACAUCUUGACGGUACCUAAUCAGAAAGCCACGGCUAACUACGUG